CGCAUCUGUGCAUGCAGCAUAUCAAUAAGCGGAGGAAAAGAAACUAACAAGGAUUCCCCUAGUAACGGCGAGUGAAGCGGGAAGAGCUCAAAUUUGAAAUCUUAAAGGGUUUCCCUUUACGAAUUGUAGUUUAAAGAAGUGUUUUCUGUUGAGGUUUUGGUAAAAGUUCUUUGGAAUAGGACAUCAUAGAGGGUGAGAAUCCCGUAUUUGACCUUUACUUUCAACUUUGUGAUACACUUUCAAAGAGUCGGAUUGUUUGGGAAUGCAGUCCAAAAUGGGUUGGUUAAAUUUCAUCUAAAGCUAAAUAUUGGCGAGAGACCGAUAGCGAACAAGUACCGUGAGGGAAAGAUGAAAAGAACUUUGAAAAGAGAGUUAAACAGUACGUGAAAUUGUCAAAAGGGAAGCGUUUGACACCAGUGUUGUUUUUCCGAAAAUCAAUUAAAGAACUGUUUAUGCUAAGCUGUUUAGACUUUAUCAGCUAACUGUUUAGUUUCGAGCUUUUCUUUAAUGCACUUUUCAGUUAACAAGUCAACAUCAAUUUCUUUUGUUGUAAAAGAGUAUUCGGAAGGUGGCUUUCUUUUCGGAGAAAGUGUUUAUAGCCCUAUACUUCUACAAUCGGAGAGAUUGAGGUCUGCAGCGUAGAUCCUUCGGGGUUAGAUACAUUCUGUGCUAAGCUGUAGCUUUUCAUAGACAACUUGUUGACUAUGUUUAGUCAUGUGGCUUACCCGCUGGCGCUAUUUUACCUACGCUUAGGAUGUUGAGCGCAUGUCUCUCUCG
Molecule: ribosomal RNA, 777 nt
Filed under: uncultured Neocallimastigales
Lineage: Eukaryota; Fungi; Neocallimastigomycota; Neocallimastigomycetes; Neocallimastigales
Description: partial large subunit ribosomal RNA
Rfam family: Eukaryotic large subunit ribosomal RNA
Source: RNAcentral